UAAUGAUUGCCAACAAUUUUGUAAUGGCGAUAAGAAAACAAGAUCAGUUUAUUUUAAAUCCGGUGUCAUACAUUUUGACCCCUAUAGAAUGGCUUUUAAACAACUGCAAUAAAGCCAACUCCUUCUCGUGCAUUCUCAUGUGCUGGGACAGAGACCCUGGACCCUGGGCCUUGAACUUGCAGAUUUUACAGCAGGUUUCCUUUGGAACGAAAAUCCUUGCUACAGAUGUCACAAUGAAACAUCCUGCCUCCCUUUAUAUGCAAAGAACGCAUGUGGUUAUCAAAGGGUGUCUUGCCAGACAAAGACCUGUUACACAGGCAGCAUUUAUACUUAUACUGGAAAAGCUUUUUAUGGUCAUGAAGCUGUGCUUUAAGACUGAAUAUCUUGUCACAAAAAUCACACGAAAACUUGUCUCUGUGAAUUAUGGCAUGAUUUUCUAAAGCCAAACUGGUUGGAAACUUCUUCUUGCACAUGGCACACUCAAAUGUUGGACCAACGUUAUGUGUGGCUUGAUGCUCCAGAAGAUCUGCUCUGCUCUCAAACUCUAGAACGCAUUCGGGACAUUUGUGAUUUCUUCCUUUAAAAUGACUUUUUAGGUGUUCGCUGAAUUCUGUGAACUCUUCAAAUGUUUCCGGACACAGAUCACACGGGAAACUGCCAGUGUCUUCCUCAUUGCUCAUAAUAGUAUUGUGAUGUGAAAAUGCUCUAUCAGACUGAAACAUAGCCAUAAAAGAUAAUGAUUGAGAUUCACAAUAUGUAUUGAGCUACAUGUACUUAUAUGGUCAAUACUGUUAUUUACUAUACAAACCAACAAAUAAAGCGUUAUAAAAAUCUUAAA
Molecule: long non-coding RNA, 838 nt
Organism: Dreissena polymorpha
Lineage: Eukaryota; Metazoa; Mollusca; Bivalvia; Myida; Dreissenidae
Exons: 3
Source: RefSeq, a predicted model, not a curated record